GAGAGCACAGUGCGUGCAGACAUGCCAUCACUCUUCCAAGUAUUCACUCUGAGAGUCCUUGGGGCUUUGUGUGUGUAUGGUGCAGGUCAUCUAGAACAACCUCAACUCUCCAGUACCAAAAUGCUUGCAAAAACAGCCCGCCUGGAAUGCAUGAUAUCUGGUGUAACAAUUUCUGAAACGUCUGUAUAUUGGUAUCAAGAAAGACCCGGUCAAGCCAUGCGGCACCUACUCCGCAUUUUAUCCAACAACACCGUCAGAAGGGAAUCAGAUGUCACGUCGGACAAGUUUGAGGCAGACAAGAUACCCAAAACGUCUACGUCGACCCUCACCAUUCACAAUGUGCAGGAACAAGACUCCGCCACCUACUAUUGUGCCCUCUGGGAAGUGCACAAUAGUGGGCUAACGGAUGGCAAGAGCAUCAAAAUAUUUGGUUCUGGAACACAGCUCAUUGUUACAGAUAGAAGAACUGAUGUAGACAUGUCUCCCAAGCCCACUAUAUUUCUUCCUUCAACGGAUGAAAUAAACUCCAAUAAGACUGGAACACAUCUUUGCCUUCUUGAGAAUUUUUUCCCUGAUGUUAUUAAGGUUUAUUGGAAAGAAAAGAAUGGCAAAACAGUUCUGGAAUCCCAGCAGGGAAAUAUCAUCAAGACGAAUGACACAUAUAUGAAAUUCAGCUGGCUGACCGUGUCUGAAGAGUCAAUGGAUAAAGAACACGUAUGUAUCGUCAAACAUGAGAAUAACAGAGAAGGAGCUGAUCAAGAGAUUCUUUUUCCUUCAAUUAACAAAGAGGUCACUACACCUGCUUGCGUGAAAAAAGAAACUGAUACCCUGCAGCUGCAGUUCACGAACACGUCUGCCUACUACACCUACGUCCUCCUCCUCCUCAAGAGCAUGAUGUACUUCUCCAUCAUCGCCUUCUGUGUGUUUAGGAGAACAGCCCUCUGCGGCAAGGGGAAGAGCUUCUGACAGAGGGGGCCACGGAGGGGUCACCUUUCCUGCAUCAUCUAUUGUCUCUGAACGUGUCUGCUGAGGAUCCAGCCAUGCAUGCUUCCUUUCUGGGUUUGGGUUAUUUCGAAUAAUAUGUACAUUUUUCAAUUGUUGUGUAAGGGUUAAACCGCUGGGCAAGCAGACAGCUUUACUCUGUAACAGGGAAUUCUGCCAUUACUCAGGGUCAGGGCCCAGGGCUGGUCCAGGGGAGCCUCUCCCACCUCUGUCCCCACAGCCUCAUCAGCUCCUCCUGCCCCUCGAGCCCUCCACCUGCUGAGCGCACACAGCAGGCAGCUCCCAUCUCCUCCCUCAGCGCCUCCACCCAGACCACAGCCCUGACCCUCCCUGUCACACACCCUGGAG
Hippopotamus amphibius kiboko is the source of this 1350-nucleotide non-coding RNA. NCBI's taxonomy places the organism in Eukaryota, Metazoa, Chordata, Mammalia, Artiodactyla, Hippopotamidae. The record is from the annotation of a RefSeq genome assembly.